GUGGGGAAUAUUGGACAAUGGGCGAAAGCCUGAUCCAGCCAUGCCGCGUGUGUGAAGAAGGUCUUCGGAUUGUAAAGCACUUUAAGUUGGGAGGAAGGGCAGUAAGUUAAUACCUUGCUGUUUUGACGUUACCGACAGAAUAAGCACCGGCUAACUUCGUGCCAGCAGCCGCGGUAAUACGAAGGGUGCAAGCGUUAAUCGGAAUUACUUGGCGUAAAGCGCGCGUAGGUGGUUUUGUAAGUUGGAGGUGAAAUCCCCGGGCUCAACCUGGGAACUGCCUCCAAAACUGCAUGACUAGAGUACGGUAGAGGGUAGUGGAAUUUCCUGUGUAGCGGUGAAAUGCGUAGAUAUAGGAAGGAACACCAGUGGCGAAGGCGACUACCUGGACUGAUACUGACACUGAGGUGCGAAAGCGUGGGGAGCAAACAGGAUUAGAAACCCGUGUAGUCC
Molecule: ribosomal RNA, 450 nt
Filed under: uncultured bacterium
Lineage: Bacteria
Description: partial 16S ribosomal RNA
Rfam family: Bacterial small subunit ribosomal RNA
Source: RNAcentral